GAUAAACGCUGGCGGCGUGCUUAACACAUGCAAGUCGAACGAAGUUUUUCCUUCGGGAGAAACUUAGUGGCGGACGGGUGAGUAACGCGUGGGUAACCUGCCCUGUACAGGGGGACAACAGCUGGAAACGGCUGCUAAUACCGCAUAAGCACUUAGCACUGCAUGGUGCAUAGGGAAAAGGAGCAAUCCGGUACAGGAUGGACGCGCGUCUGAUUAGCCAGUUGGCAGGGUAACGGCCUACCAAAGCGACGAUCAGUAGCCGAUCUGAGAGGAUGUACGGCCACAUUGGGACUGAGACACGGCCCAGACUCCUACGGGAGGCAGCAGUGGGGAAUAUUGCACAAUGGAGGAAACUCUGAUGCAGCGACGCCGCGUGAGUGAAGAAGUAUUUCGGUAUGUAAAGCUCUAUCAGCAGGGAAGAAAAUGACGGUACCUGACUAAGAAGCACCGGCUAAAUACGUG
RNAcentral lists this ribosomal RNA (462 nucleotides) under uncultured bacterium. RNAcentral's name for it is "partial 16S ribosomal RNA". It matches the Rfam family "Bacterial small subunit ribosomal RNA", at positions 28 to 507 of the family's 1533-position model. The record is from RNAcentral.